Molecule: transfer RNA, 59 nt
Filed under: Felis catus (domestic cat)
Lineage: Eukaryota; Metazoa; Chordata; Mammalia; Carnivora; Felidae
Source: Rfam by way of RNAcentral
GCCUGAGUGGCUCAGUCGGUUGAGCAUCUGACUUCAACUCAGGUCAUGAUCUUCGGGUU